Molecule: unclassified non-coding RNA, 146 nt
Filed under: soil metagenome
Description: partial internal transcribed spacer 1
Source: RNAcentral
CCGAGUUUACAACUCCCAAACCCCUGUGAACAUACCACUUGUGCCUCGGCGGAUCAGCCCGCUCCCGGUAAAACGGGACGGCCCGCCAGAGGACCCCCAAACUCUGUUUCUAUAUGUAACUUCUGAGUAAAACCAUAAAUAAAUCA